This is a long non-coding RNA of Camelina sativa (false flax), 943 nucleotides long. RefSeq lists it as uncharacterized. The record is from RefSeq and is a predicted model, not a curated record. Lineage: Eukaryota; Viridiplantae; Streptophyta; Magnoliopsida; Brassicales; Brassicaceae.
CUUCUUUUUGAGUUUCUAUUUUCACAUAUCGUUUUCUCAGAUUUUGACCCUUUAAUUUGGCUUUGUUCUUCUUCCUCGUAUAGUAGAAGAACAUCACAAAAACUGGGUUUUUUUUCUUUCUUUCUGUAAAUUCUCAGAUUUUGACCCUUUAAUUUGGCUUUGUUCUUCUUCCUCGUAUAGUAGAAAAACAUCACAAAAACUGGGUUUUUUUUCUCUUUCUUUCUGUAAAUUCUGAAGAGAUCCUUCACGGAUUUGAUCUGUUUAAACUAUAUAAAGUCUUGAUUUUUAUAAAUCAGCUAAAAAAAGAAGUCGCGGUUUAGAGUUUAUGGUUUGACUAGGAAAAAACAAAUCAUACUGAAAUAGGUUGUGAGGUUUCCAAGUUAUAUGCAUUUUGUUGGGUAUUAGAACCUGAAGGAUCUAAUCAUGGAGUCACAGGGUUAGAUGAGGAUAGGAGAGGUGAAGGGAAUGAUUUGCCUCAGUUUCGUGAAUUCUCAAUUGAGACGUUAAGGAACGCUACAUCAGGAUUUGCUGCAGAGAAUAUAGUUUCAGAGCAUGGUGAAAAAGCUCCAAAUGUUGUGUAUAAAGGGAAAUUGGAAAAUCAAAGACGUAUUGCUGUUAAAAGGUUUAAUAGGAAAGCUUGGCCUGAUUCUUGUCAGUUUCUGGAGGAAGCUAGAGCUGUUGGUCAGUUAAGGAACUAUAGAAUGGCAAAUCUUCUUGGAUGUUGUUAUGAAGGAAAUGGGGAUUGAAGAUUUCUCGAAGCUACGUGGUGUACACAAGAUGCAUGUAUGUUUUAGAUAUCUUUAAGGAGUGUGUUGACAUUUAAUAGGACUAUGUUCCUUUAUCUAGUUUUACUUUGUAUGUUGUUUAGACAUCAAUGUUGUUUGGGAAACCUUUUAACAUUGUUUUGGUACUUUUAUAUUGUUUCUACAUCAUAACACUGUCA